Molecule: ribosomal RNA, 214 nt
Filed under: uncultured bacterium
Lineage: Bacteria
Description: partial 16S ribosomal RNA
Rfam family: Bacterial small subunit ribosomal RNA
Source: RNAcentral
UACGGGGGGAGCAAGCGUUGUUCGGAUUUACUGGGCGUAAAGGGCGCGUAGGCGGCCACCGCAAGUCGACUGUGAAAUCUCCGGGCUUAACCCGGAAAGGUCAGCCGAUACUGCGGGGCUAGAGUGCAGAAGGGGCAACUGGAAUUCUCGGUGUAGCGGUGAAAUGCGUAGAUAUCGAGAGGAACACCUGCGGCGAAGGCGGGUUGCUGGGCUG